This 828-nucleotide ribosomal RNA is filed under the name Penicillifer bipapillatus. RNAcentral describes it as "eukaryotic LSU rRNA". It matches the Rfam family "Eukaryotic large subunit ribosomal RNA", at positions 74 to 935 of the family's 3401-position model. The record is from RNAcentral. Lineage: Eukaryota; Fungi; Ascomycota; Sordariomycetes; Hypocreales; Nectriaceae.
AUUGCCCUAGUAACGGCGAGUGAAGCGGCAACAGCUCAAAUUUGAAAUCUGGCCCUCGGGCCCGAGUUGUAAUUUGUAGAGGAUGCUUUUGGUGCGGUGCCUUCCGAGUUCCCUGGAACGGGACGCCAUAGAGGGUGAGAGCCCCGUCUGGUCGGACGCCAAUCCUCUGUAAAGCUCCUUCGACGAGUCGAGUAGUUUGGGAAUGCUGCUCUAAAUGGGAGGUAUAUGUCUUCUAAAGCUAAAUACCGGCCAGAGACCGAUAGCGCACAAGUAGAGUGAUCGAAAGAUGAAAAGCACUUUGAAAAGAGAGUUAAAAAGUACGUGAAAUUGUUGAAAGGGAAGCGCUUGUGACCAGACUUGGGCUCGGUCGAUCAUCCGGGGUUCUCCCCGGUGCACUCUUCCAGCCCAGGCCAGCAUCAGUUCGCCGCGGGGGACAAAGGUUUCGGGAAUGUGGCUCCCCCGGGAGUGUUAUAGCCCGUUGCGCAAUGCCCCGAGGCGGACUGAGGUUCGCGCUCCGCAAGGAUGCUGGCGUAAUGGUCACCAGUGACCCGUCUUGAAACACGGACCAAGGAGUCGUCUUCGUAUGCGAGUGUUCGGGUGUCAAACCCCUACGCGGAAUGAAAGUGAACGCAGGUGAGAGCUUCGGCGCAUCACCGACCGAUCCUGAUGUUCUCGGAUGGAUUUGAGUAAGAGCAUACGGGGCCGGACCCGAAAGAAGGUGAACUAUGCCUGUAUAGGGUGAAGCCAGAGGAAACUCUGGUGGAGGCUCGCAGCGGUUCUGACGUGCAAAUCGAUCGUCAAAUAUGGGCAUGGGGGCGAAAGACUAAU